This 718-nucleotide long non-coding RNA is filed under the name Vigna radiata. RNAcentral's name for it is "long non-coding RNA (VRAD_LNC013757)". Lineage: Eukaryota; Viridiplantae; Streptophyta; Magnoliopsida; Fabales; Fabaceae. The record is from RNAcentral.
AAAAGGGAAAAAAGAAAAAUAGAAAGAAAAUAAAUAAAUAAAAAUAAAAAGUAAAAUAUAAUGAAAAGUUAAAUGAAAAAAUAAUAAGUAGAUAAAAAAAAGGUGGAGGUGCUUAAAUAAGAAAAAGGGGUGUAGAUCAAACUUAGUGCUAAUAACUGACUGGGCCAAAGCCCAAGUGGAAAUGGGGUAUGAAGAUGAGAAAUGAGGGUGUGGAUGAGAAUAGGGACUUGAGGCCCAGCAGAAAAAAUAAUGGGGUGCCUGAAUGAGAAACGGGGGUGCAUAUGUGGAAGGCAAAGCUGUAAGAGAGAGUUUUAUUCUUUUUUUGAUGAUUUUUUUUAGUUGGAUCAGAAGCUUAGGCCUAAGGCCUUUUUCGCUUCUUAGGUCAAAAAAGGGGAUUGUUCCCUCUACCUCCCCAUUUUCUCCUUCCACCUCCCUAACUUUCUGUUUUCUUUUUUUUAUUACAAAAAUAUUCUUUUCUAUUUACUUUUUUAACCUUUAUACUAUUUUUAUUUUUUUAUUUUAAUGUUAUAUACAGAAGUAAACCUAAAUUUACUUUUACUUUUUUUACUCACAGCUCCACCUCUCCAAAACUGCGAUCUGUCUCUUUUUCGACUCCGUCACACUCUUCUCUUCUAUCUGUUUUUCAUCCAAACUCUCGGCGUCAACAUUCGGAUAUCUAUGUUGAAGAAAAAAUGGAUGUCGAUAUUCGUUUGCGGAU